Molecule: ribosomal RNA, 924 nt
Filed under: uncultured Bacteroidota bacterium
Lineage: Bacteria; Pseudomonadati; Bacteroidota
Description: bacterial SSU rRNA
Rfam family: Bacterial small subunit ribosomal RNA
Source: RNAcentral
GGAUCCAGACUUUGAUUAUGGCUCAGGAUGAACGCUAGCUACAGGCUUAACACAUGCAAGUCGAGGGGAAACGAUAUUGGAAGCUUGCUUCCGAUAGGCGUCGACCGGCGCACGGGUGAGUAACGCGUAUCCAACCUGCCCAUCACUUGGGGAUAACCUUGCGAAAGUAAGACUAAUACCCAAUGAUAUCUCUAGAAGACAUCUGAAGGAGAUUAAAGAUUCAUCGGUGAUGGAUGGGGAUGCGUCUGAUUAGCUUGUUGGCGGGGUAACGGCCCACCAAGGCGACGAUCAGUAGGGGUUCUGAGAGGAAGGUCCCCCACAUUGGAACUGAGACACGGUCCAAACUCCUACGGGAGGCAGCAGUGAGGAAUAUUGGUCAAUGGGCGAGAGCCUGAACCAGCCAAGUAGCGUGCAGGAUGACGGCCCUAUGGGUUGUAAACUGCUUUUAUAAGGGAAUAAAGUGAGCCUCGUGAGGCUUUUUGCAUGUACCUUAUGAAUAAGGACCGGCUAAUUCCGUGCCAGCAGCCGCGGUAAUACGGAAGGUCCGGGCGUUAUCCGGAUUUAUUGGGUUUAAAGGGAGCGUAGGCCGGAGAUUAAGCGUGUUGUGAAAUGUAGAUGCUCAACAUCUGCACUGCAGCGCGAACUGGUUUCCUUGAGUACGCACAAAGUGGGCGGAAUUCGUGGUGUAGCGGUGAAAUGCUUAGAUAUCACGAAGAACUCCGAUUGCGAAGGCAGCUCACUGGAGCGCAACUGACGCUGAAGCUCGAAAGUGCGGGUAUCGAACAGGAUUAGAUACCCUGGUAGUCCGCACGGUAAACGAUGGAUGCCCGCUGUUGGUCUGAAUAGGUCAGCGGCCAAGCGAAAGCAUUAAGCAUCCCACCUGGGGAGUACGCCGGCAACGGUGCAACUCAAAUGAAUUGACGG